This 481-nucleotide ribosomal RNA is filed under the name uncultured bacterium. RNAcentral's name for it is "bacterial SSU rRNA". It matches the Rfam family "Bacterial small subunit ribosomal RNA", at positions 29 to 506 of the family's 1533-position model. The record is from RNAcentral.
ACGAACGCUGGCGGCGUGCCUAACACAUGCAAGUCGAACGGAUUUUAUUAGUGAAAGUUUUCGGAUGGAAGCUAAUAAGGUUAGUGGCGGACGGGUGAGUAACGCGUGGGUAACCUGCCUAUGAGUGGGGGAUAACACCGGGAAACUGGUGCUAAUACCGCAUAAAAUCUUUAGAUGGCAUCAUCUGAAGAUCAAAGGAGAAAUCCGCUCAUGGAUGGACCCGCGUCUGAUUAGCUAGUUGGUGGUGUAAAGGCUUACCAAGGCGACGAUCAGUAGCCGGCCUGAGAGGGUGACCGGCCACACUGGGACUGAGACACGGCCCAGACUCCUACGGGAGGCAGCAGUGGGGAAUCUUCCGCAAUGGGCGAAAGCCUGACGGAGCAACGCCGCGUGAAUGACGAAGGCCUUCGGGUCGUAAAAUUCUGUCUUAAGGGACGAAAAAAAUGACGGUACCUCAGGAGGAAGCCUCGGCUAACUACGU